This 497-nucleotide ribosomal RNA is filed under the name uncultured bacterium. RNAcentral describes it as "partial 16S ribosomal RNA". It matches the Rfam family "Bacterial small subunit ribosomal RNA", at positions 28 to 507 of the family's 1533-position model. The record is from RNAcentral.
GAUGAACGCUGGCGGCGUGCCUAAUACAUGCAAGUCGAGCGAACGGACGAGAAGCUUGCUUCUCUGAUGUUAGCGGCGGACGGGUGAGUAACACGUGGAUAACCUACCUAUAAGACUGGGAUAACUUCGGGAAACCGUAGCUAAUACCGGAUAAUAUUUUGAACCGCAUGGUUCAAAAGUGAAAGACGGUCUUGCUGUCACUUAUAGAUGGAUCCGCGCUGCAUUAGCUAGUUGGUAAGGUAACGGCUUACCAAGGCAACGAUGCAUAGCCGACCUGAGAGGGUGAUCGGCCACACUGGAACUGAGACACGGUCCAGACUCCUACGGGAGGCAGCAGUAGGGAAUCUUCCGCAAUGGGCGAAAGCCUGACGGAGCAACGCCGCGUGAGUGAUGAAGGUCUUCGGAUCGUAAAACUCUGUUAUUAGGGAAGAACAUAUGUGUAAGUAACUGUGCACAUCUCGACGGUACCUAAUCAGAAAGCCACGGCUAACUACGUG